Molecule: ribosomal RNA, 421 nt
Filed under: uncultured bacterium
Lineage: Bacteria
Description: bacterial SSU rRNA
Rfam family: Bacterial small subunit ribosomal RNA
Source: RNAcentral
UAAGGAAUAUUGGUCAAUGGACGCAAGUCUGAACCAGCCAUGCCGCGUGAAGGAUGAAGGUCCUCUGGAUUGUAAACUUCUUUUAUAGGGGACGAAAAAAGGGAAUUCUUUCUCGUCUGACGGUACCCUAGGAAUAAGCACCGGCUAACUCCGUGCAGCAGCCGCGGUAAUACGGAGGGUGCAAGCGUUAUCCGGAUUCACUGGGUUUAAAGGGAGCGUAGGUGGGUCUGUAAGUCAGUGGUGAAAUCUCCGAGCUUAACUCGGAAACUGCCAUUGAUACUAUAGGUCUUGAAUAUUCUAGAGGUAAGCGGAAUAUGUCAUGUAGCGGUGAAAUGCUUAGAUAUGACAUAGAACACCGAUUGCGAAGGCAGCUUGCUACAGGAUUAUUGACACUGAGGCUCGAAAGCGUGGGGAUCAAACA